GCGCUGGUCAGGCGGUGCCGAAAAGGGACUCAUAAUCCGUAGGUCGCGGGUUCGAGCCCCGCCCGCCCCA
Molecule: transfer RNA, 70 nt
Filed under: Mycobacterium sp. E2462
Lineage: Bacteria; Bacillati; Actinomycetota; Actinomycetes; Mycobacteriales; Mycobacteriaceae
Description: tRNA-Met
Source: RNAcentral